Molecule: ribosomal RNA, 274 nt
Filed under: uncultured bacterium
Lineage: Bacteria
Description: partial 16S ribosomal RNA
Rfam family: Bacterial small subunit ribosomal RNA
Source: RNAcentral
AUACGGAGGGUGCAAGCGUUAUCUGGAAUCACUGGGUUUAAAGGGUGCGUAGGCGGCCAUAUUAGUCAGUAGUGAGAGGUUGCAGCUUAACUGUAAGACUGCUAUUGAAACUGUAUGGCUUGAAUUAGGAUGAGGUAGGCGGAAUGUGACAUGUAGCGGUGAAAUGCUUAGAUAUGUCAUAGAACACCGAUUGCGUAGGCAGCUUACUAGACCUAUAUUGACGCUGAGGCACGAAAGCGUGGGGAGCGAACAGGAUUAGAUACCCCAGUAGUCC